AUCUAGCUGAGGAGUCACAAAUAGGACGAAAUGUGCAUCUUGGAU
Molecule: non-coding RNA, 45 nt
Organism: Schistosoma mattheei
Lineage: Eukaryota; Metazoa; Platyhelminthes; Trematoda; Strigeidida; Schistosomatidae
Source: Rfam